This is a long non-coding RNA of Prosopis cineraria, 1283 nucleotides long. RefSeq lists it as uncharacterized. Lineage: Eukaryota; Viridiplantae; Streptophyta; Magnoliopsida; Fabales; Fabaceae. The record is from RefSeq and is a predicted model, not a curated record. The transcript has 4 exons.
GUGGGAGAUGUUGGCGUAACUUUUUGGAAGGUCCAAGAGGAUGGCAUUAUUCAAUGAUAAAAUUGAAUUCAGAUGAUAUUUUUCUGUGGUAUGAUCCCCUCUUCUGUGAACUCAUACUGCACAAACUUCGACAAAAAGGAAAGGAUUAUAGUGAGAAGCUUAAAUUUGAAUUUUACUUUGGGGAUUGUUUAAUCAAAGAAUGCGGUGUUCGCCCAAUAUAUGUCUCAGAGUACACAAACUUUGUUCAACAAAAGAAAGUGAAGGAAACUACUCAAAGAAAGAGGCAUCGGAACAUUGAUGAUGACCGACACCAACUCCCUCCAACAAAGAAGUCCAAGGAGUCUUCAAUCAUUCAAUCCAGUCCCUUGAAUUUUGAGUCCAAGACAUCUCAUAAUGUCCAUGAUUUGCUUCUUAUUCUGUCCCAGUUGAAUUUGGAAUCUUCAAAGAAUCACACUCAUCACAAAUAAAUUACCUAGGAUCCACUACUUGAUCGUUUGACAUAGUUAUGUUAUUCAGUCAUCAUUCUCAGCCAAAAAAAAGCUGACGGUGAAAACGAUGGAUGUUGCUGUUUCGCACUCUCUACUCAACCAAUUUCUUCAAAAAAGCUUGUCUGGAGGAUUUCUGUCUGUUUACAAGAGUUCAACUUCUACAGCAGAGGCUUUGGAAAAGAAUCUUCAUGAUUUAGCCAACUGUAUUUGUAGGUAUAAAUUGUGGUGAAGCAGUGAAGCUUUUUUCUCCUCUGGAUUUCAUAACUAAGUAUUCAUCAAAUGUGGAGGGGUGUGUCGAUUGCUAUCACAGCUGAUGCUGACUGCAGCAAGCAGAGUUUGACAUAGUAUAUCACUAUAUUGUAUUCAGCCAUCGUUCUCGGCCAAGAAAAGCUGACAGUAACAACCAUGGAUGCUGUGCUUCAUGUGCUAUUCUCAACCAAUUUCUUCAGAAAAAGUGUGAUGUGUUCAUCAGUUUUGGAGGUGAGGAUACCCGCAUAAAAAUGAUGUGUUGAUGCUGUUCUCAGAGAGAAAAGAAAAGUGAUGUUUGGCAUUAAGAGGGGUGGGCGUUGAAAUCUGAAUGGGUACGUGUGGCUUUUCGAAUGAUUUAAAAAUUAUCUUCAACUUGUCAUAAACUUUAAUAGUAGAUCAUGAUGACGGACACUGACUGUGCUGUCCAAUUUGUCAUGUUAAUUCAAUGGUUAAUAACACACUGUAUAAUGACUUAAUGAGGCUUGAAUUAUCCGGCCGUGCAAAGGUAUUUUAUGACAUGCAUGUAGUGCGUGUGAUUGUUGUAAA